Molecule: unclassified non-coding RNA, 286 nt
Filed under: Hevea brasiliensis (rubber tree)
Lineage: Eukaryota; Viridiplantae; Streptophyta; Magnoliopsida; Malpighiales; Euphorbiaceae
Source: RNAcentral
AGAAUGGUCAGUUGUUAAGAAUUUGUAUGAAGAAAUGAAGGAACGGAUUGAAUCAACUAUGGAAAGAGGUAACAUUUCAAAAGAAAUAAGGGUCAAACACAAAGGAUUUUCAGAAUGGAACUGUAAUGUAACAAAGAAAGAUCAUCAGUCUAUUGUGCAGAUUGUUCUUGAUGGAAGGGAUGAAACUGCUGUGGACAACAAUGGGUACCGAUUGCCAACACUUGUGUACGUGGCAAGAGAGAAAAGACCCCAAUAUCCUCAUCACUUCAAAGCUGGAGCCAUGAAU